UACAUUUCGAAAUACUAUUGUUGUUUUAUCACGAAAUGUAACGUAGUUCUAAGAGUUUUGAUGCCAGAAUGUUGUUUAAACUUCAAAGCUACCGUUGAAUUUUAAGGUUAUAGCAACUAUUUUAAAAUUUGCUCAGACUAUUUCGUUACGAGUUGAAAAAUCCAGGCAAUCCGGUGCUGGUGUAAGUAACCCUCGGCAAGUCCUCCUAAAAAGUAGCUAGGCCCUAUAACGUUUAGUAAAAUAUGGUGCUGCCUGUGUUGUUUCUGUAGUGGAUAAACAUUUGAUCUAUUGUGCUUUGGGUAUAUCUAAUGGGCAAUUGUUUUGCCUGAGGGAAAAGUUUCCUAACUAACGUUAGCCUACUUAUAUCAAACGCAAACCUUAUUCUAGAGUGCUCUUAUCAUUUUAACCAAAUAGUUUGCUUGUCUUUAUUUCAAUUUUUUAACAAAUUAUUUUAUAAUUGUAUUAUUUUUCAUUAACUUAAAUUAAGCAUGAUUUUUUAUCAAGGGACUGCUGAGGAAACUCGGGCCUUGAUAGAGUGGCGGGCGGCCAACGAAAGCCUUUUCACCGGGAGGCACAAUUCCUCCAAAUGGGAGAUGGGAAAGGAACAAUCCUGAUGUGGCACCCAUCGAUGGCACCAGCAGCACAGCGGAAUGCCUCAUGGCCAGCAAGGCGAGCAAAGCCUCCCCCACCUCAUCCAUUUCCUCUGCUUUUGGAAAAUGAAUAAUUUUGUGGAGGAUGGUCAUCAUCUCCUCCACAACAUUGUGAACAGUCCUACAAACUGUUGAAAGUGGCAUGCUGAAGUUAUCUGAUGUGACCCUGUAGGAUGCUCCACAGGCAAGCCAAUAAACCGUAACAAAGUACGGCUCCAUCCAUGGGCUUUUUGACGGGGCAGCAUCUGUACCAGCAUGUUGAUGCUGUUCCUGGAGAGCCUGAAAGCUGGCUUUAAAUCCUCUCCAGAAAAAAACUUGACCAGAAUUGGUACCUGGUCAUUGAUCUCUGAAUACCUGCGAGUGUGACUUUGUUCCUG
Molecule: long non-coding RNA, 1027 nt
Organism: Cyprinus carpio carpio
Lineage: Eukaryota; Metazoa; Chordata; Actinopteri; Cypriniformes; Cyprinidae
Source: Ensembl